AGUAGGAUUACUGAGUCAUAUGGUAAAUGUAUGUUUAACUUAAUAAGAAAAUGCCAAACUCUUUCUUAAAGUAACUAUACCAUUUUGCAUUCCCACCAGCAAU
This 103-nucleotide microRNA precursor is filed under the name Marmota monax (woodchuck). The record is from RNAcentral. Lineage: Eukaryota; Metazoa; Chordata; Mammalia; Rodentia; Sciuridae.